This 1240-nucleotide long non-coding RNA is filed under the name Astyanax mexicanus (Mexican tetra). RNAcentral's name for it is "lncRNA (ENSAMXG00005014663.1)". The record is from RNAcentral. Lineage: Eukaryota; Metazoa; Chordata; Actinopteri; Characiformes; Acestrorhamphidae.
GAAGCUAUGUCUGUUCAAGUGGGGCGUGCGGACAAUUCUGGACUGUCCACUCCUUGUAAGAAUUCCAACCAUUCUCGCACCAACCAUCUCAUUGAACAAAGUUAAAGUAUAUUCAAGACGGUGAAUUUUUCACAGCUUGUGAAUUAAGCUUAAGCUUCUCCAAGUUAAUUUAGGCUGUUUUCGUGUGUUUCAGACUCUGGAGAUCUGGCCUCGUCUCGCCUAGUGAUGCCUUCCGACAGAUCUCAGGACAGUGAGAGGACUACUCCAAAAAAUAAAACCUCGAAAGGCCUUGUGGAAGCCUUCUCUACCUCUGAGAAACGUGCUGCAGGAUCUUGGUGCAAGGAAAUGUCUAACUUGUCUGGCCUGGUGGAGAGUGCCAAUGGAUUUUGUGGAAACACCCAGUAAGUAUGCAUCACAACUUAUGCUCACCUUUUUGUUUCAUUUCAAAAUUUUAAUAUUCUUUAUCCUUUUCAGGCCCUCAAAAUGCAAGCCCAGCACCUCGGUACAGGGAUCUGUUAACACCCAGUCUAGUGGUGGAUUCAGCAUCAGGUCAAGACACAGUGAUGGAUACAGAGUCAGGUCCCAGUCACGGUGCAGUGAUGGUUCGAGGCACACAGUCAGGUCCCGCUCACGGCGCAGUGAUGGGUUGAGGCACACAGUCAGGUCCAGGUCCCGCUCUCGCUCACGGCGCAGUGAUGGGUUGAGGCACACAGUCAGGUCCAGGUCCCGCUCUCGCUCACGGCGCAGUGAUGGGUUGAGGCACACAGUCAGGUCCAGGUCCCGCUCCCGCUCACGGCACAGUGAUGGUUUGAGGCACACAGUCAGGUCCAGGUCCCGCUCACGGCGCAGUGAUGGUUUGAGGCACACAGUCAGGUCCAGGUCCCGCUCCCGCUCACGGCACAGUGAUGGUUCGAGGCACACAGUCAGGUUCAGACACGAUUGGUCAUGCCAUAGUGAUGUCUCCAGGCCCCCCUAUGACAGGCCAAGGCAUGAUGCAGUGACUGAGACUGGAAGAUGGACAUUCCCAUUGCCUUGGGAUGUGUAUCAGAAAAAGGUCUUAAACCUACUGGUAGACCUUCGCGAUCAACAUAAACGAGCAAUACCUGCCUCUUCAGCCGUGCACAUUGAGAGGAUGGAGACUAUGGAGGAUUUUGAGAGAGAGGAGCAACGGCUCUGUGAUGCACAAGCCUUUGAUGCCCUGGUGCUGCGCAUUGCAAGAAUUGGAGGGAAGAAUAUCAAG